GGGCCCGUAGUAUAGCGGUAACACGGCUCCAUGGCAUGGAGCAGUCCGGGGUUCAACUCCCCGCGGGUCCACCA
This 74-nucleotide transfer RNA is filed under the name bacterium. RNAcentral describes it as "tRNA-Ala". It matches the Rfam family "tRNA". From Rfam's summary of the family: Transfer RNA (tRNA) molecules are approximately 80 nucleotides in length. The record is from RNAcentral.